RNAcentral lists this long non-coding RNA (1710 nucleotides) under Scleropages formosus (Asian bonytongue). RNAcentral describes it as "lncRNA (ENSSFOG00015026987.1)". The record is from RNAcentral. Lineage: Eukaryota; Metazoa; Chordata; Actinopteri; Osteoglossiformes; Osteoglossidae.
CGUUAAACAUCGCGCUCACGAAGAACAAAGAAGCCAGGGUAGCCUUCACCUGGAUACGUUAUCACUUAUAGAAGUCGAAGUAUGGUUACAAUGUAACUUUGCGGUGGUGCAGGAAUACUUACAUGUGAGUACAGAAAAGUGGGACUUUGUAUUCAGUUUUCUUGAUGUUGCGAGGUUUUUUGUUUUUUUUUUUGCAGUGGCCCCUUUAGGUAGGUGACGCGACCCUAUCCCGCGUAAUACCUGCUUUUCCAGAAGCCACUAAGGCACUGCAGACCGAGAGACAGCGGAAAGGCCCUUUAAAUAGUCUCGAGGCAGAACGCGCAGAGGCGCCGCCCACAUAGGCGGAUUUCAGCCAAUCGGGUGCCGCCGCACGUUCACAACGUUCUAUCCUGCCCGGUAACAUUGAGAGACCGAUGGAAUGGGGGUUGGGGGCGUCCGGAGAAUGACCCUCCAAACUUUUUCUGCAAUGCCUGUGGAACAGCUAUCGGGCAGACCGAUGCAGAGGCUCUUUGUGCCGCGCAAACACUUUGAGCGGCGCACAGCUGAGCUCUUCUUUGUGGCCCACGUCUGCCCACGGAGAAGUGGAAGCUGUUGGCUGCCUUCCACAUAUCGCAGAUCUGGUUCCUCGGCAGGAAAAUGAGACGAUGAGAAACGCGGCGAGAAGAAGCAGUAAAAACCACAACGCGGAAGGCUUUGAGACCCAGUAGUGUGUCCAGAAGGUCCGCAAAGACCCAAAGUACACAGAGUCGGCAACAAUUACAAGUGGAGAACAGUACAUUCUGCCGUUCUGUGCCUGAACCAAGAACUCGGGCCUUGUUUUCCUUCACUGGCGCCGAAAACCACUCAUGAAUGAAUACAUUAGGUUACUGUAAUAUUUACCUAGCAAUCGAAAACAUUUUCUUUUUUCAGGAAAAAUAUUUAAGAUUUUUUGGGAUAAACUGAUAAAACCACAUAAUAUAUACUGUGUCUGAUGCACUUUUAUAGUCAUAGUCAAGACAAUGUUUAACUCUUUCAUUGGAUACUGUUUAAGUGGAUGGUAACUUUUUUAUGUUUAUUGAAAAAGCACCUUUUCCAGAAAACAGAGAGCCUUCUAGUUAAAGCAUAAUGGAGGCCAGCUGUCAAGCCGCCCCCUUGGUUGCUAAAGGUUUGAGCGACCAGCAUUCCUUUCUGCAAUCUUUCUCUCCUUAUUUUUCCCCCAGCGACUGACCAUACUAAAGCAAAGGCUCCCGAGGAGCAAGCUGCAUAUUUUACUUAUAAAGCACUUCUAAACUAACGGCCUGUUUGCUUUUCAAAAUUAUGACAAAGGUGUAUUUAAGCAUUUAGAAAAGAAACAUCCUUUACCAAAUGGUGCUUUUAUUCCACCAUUGAAUCUUAUAUAAAUGUCAUUGACAGUGGAUUAGAUUGUAAUGAGCAACUAUGUAAAACAUAAACUGCCCAAAAAUCUCUUUACUUACAAGCAAGAUUAAAAAUAAUACUUUGUUCUUCAGUUUCUUCAAAGUAAGCAAAUCCAGAAAAGGCACUAUAGCUGCCAUUAAAAUGUUCAUUACAAGUAAUUUUCCCUGUAUGUUUUAAUGUUGCUUAAUAGUGGAGAACUUUUUUUUUUUUAUAAUUUGGUUGUACUAAUUUUUUUGGAAUAAGUAUUAGAAGAGUAACACUUAAAAAAGGACUUAAUCUUGCCAUGGUUGCACAAUAAAUUGAAGAAAAAAAUCA